AGACGUUCACAUGGCAACCUGAUAUCAUCUAAUAUGUCCUUCGCCGGAACGAAUACCUUGGAAAAUAGACUAUAUGAAAUAGCUUUUGACAACAAUCAGAUAACUACAUUGAAAAAGAAUGACUUUAGUAAAUACACAGAUUUGCGUGUUUUAUCACUACGCAAGAACCAAAUAACAACAAUAGAAAUUGGGGCUUUGCCUUCUCCUGAAAAUCUCGAAGUUUUG
Long non-coding RNA from Mytilus trossulus (common blue mussel), 225 nucleotides. RefSeq lists it as uncharacterized. The record is from RefSeq and is a predicted model, not a curated record. Lineage: Eukaryota; Metazoa; Mollusca; Bivalvia; Mytilida; Mytilidae. The transcript has 3 exons.